UAAGGAGCACCACGAAAAGCAUCCCAACAAGUGGGGUGCAAGCCGUGAGGGGUUCUCGUCUGUAGUGGACGAAAGCCGGGUGCACGACAACAAGCAAAGCCAGACACACUAUUGGGUCCUGAGGCAACACUCGGGCUCUGUUCGAGAGUUGUCCCACCAUCUUGGUGGUGGGGUGUGGUGUUUGAGAAUUGGAUAGUGGUUGCGAGCAUCAAAUGGAUGCGUUGCCCUACGGGUAGCGUGUUCUUUUGUGCAAUUUUAUUCUUUGGUUUUUGUGUUUGU
This 279-nucleotide unclassified non-coding RNA is filed under the name Mycobacterium kansasii. Its description in RNAcentral is "partial 16S-23S ribosomal RNA intergenic spacer". The record is from RNAcentral. Lineage: Bacteria; Bacillati; Actinomycetota; Actinomycetes; Mycobacteriales; Mycobacteriaceae.